GGGGCUAUAGCUCAGCUGGGAGAGCGCCUGCCUUGCACGCAGGAGGUCAGCGGUUCGAUCCCCCUUAGCUCCACCA
RNAcentral lists this transfer RNA (76 nucleotides) under Morganella morganii. Its description in RNAcentral is "tRNA-Ala". It matches the Rfam family "tRNA". Rfam says of the family: Transfer RNA (tRNA) molecules are approximately 80 nucleotides in length. Their secondary structure includes four short double-helical elements and three loops (D, anti-codon, and T loops). Lineage: Bacteria; Pseudomonadati; Pseudomonadota; Gammaproteobacteria; Enterobacterales; Morganellaceae. The record is from RNAcentral.